RNAcentral lists this unclassified non-coding RNA (200 nucleotides) under Helotiales sp. RNAcentral describes it as "partial internal transcribed spacer 2". The record is from RNAcentral. Lineage: Eukaryota; Fungi; Ascomycota; Leotiomycetes; Helotiales.
UUAAGUUUAGCGGGUAUCCCCACCUGAUCCGAGGUCAACCUUAAAAAGUAGAAGGUGUUGUCCGGCGGUCGAGGCCCGGCUUUGAAAACGCUAGAAAAUGAUCUCGCUGCGCUUAAAGACGGACGGCGACGCCGAGGAGUUUGAGGCGCGCCCGCACAGGGCGGCGCCCAAUACCAAGCAGAGCUUGAGUGUUGUAAUGA